Molecule: long non-coding RNA, 38285 nt
Filed under: Coffea arabica (coffee)
Lineage: Eukaryota; Viridiplantae; Streptophyta; Magnoliopsida; Gentianales; Rubiaceae
Description: long non-coding RNA (CARA_LNC005827)
Source: RNAcentral
UUUUUUUUUUUUUUUUUUUUUUUUUGUGUUUCUUGAUGACUAGAAAAUUACAACCAAAAGGACUAGAACUAGUUUUUAGUCUUGAAGCCUCGAGGCAUCCAUACCUAAUCCGGUGGGCUUGCGUCAACAAGGAUUGCUAAGAUUAACUUAACUAAUACUUACAAGACAACUGGUCCCUUGCUUUGAAUUUGUAACAAGCUAAUUUGUCUUGACCUUAUAAAUAGUGGGGAAGCAUUCAUUUGUCAGUCUAUUUAGUAUACAAUUUGCAUAAAAUUCUUCUCUUGAAUAGUGUGACUUUGUCAACUAUUCUAGUACAGUACUCUUUUUUUUCUUUUUUCUUUUUUUUUGUGUCCUGCUGAAGCAACGAUUAAAUGAAGUCAAAACAUUUUAUAAUAAUACGCUGCAUCUUGUGUUUUUUUUUUUUUAUCGACACGGGAGUGUUCGGGUCAAUCCUUACGGGGCUCGACUAAUCCCCUGUGGCCCGGGCCCGACGUCCCAAUCCGGCCAGAAUACGUUAAGUGCGCGAAGGAAUCCAACGGAACGGAGAGGCGCUGCCGCUGGACCAUUCACGCGGGGACAUGCUGCAUUUUGUUAGAAUUAGUGAAUUAUUGUUUGGUGUACCAAUUCAAUCCAAGGCGUCUUUUUCAGCUAUCCAGUCGUGAGUUGUGAACCAUUUUGGCAUUUUAUCAAGUGCAAUAAGUCAGGGAAGGCAGAGAAAAUUAGUGCAGAAAUAAUAUAAUUCAUCAAGUAGAAGUGUGUGUGUGUGUGUGUAUAUAUGCAUGAAGUAGUAGUGUGUGUAUAUAUAUGCUCUGUUAUGCUAUCAAUUUAAAGGAUAAAAGAUCAACGUUUGAGUCAUUCCAUGUUGUUGUUGGAUUAAUUGCAAAAUGACCCCUUAAAUUAGUACUUACUUUCAUUUUCUUCCAUACAACUAUUGGAUUUUUCAAUUUAGUACCUCAUACUAUCAACUUGUGGAAGAUUGUUCAAAUUAUUUGAAAAUCAAUGAAUUUUUCUAACUAUUUUUUGAACAAAGAGAUAAUUUGCAUUUCGUCUACUAAAGUGCUCUUGUUCAUUUAAGAGUACUAGAAUCUUUUCAUUUUAAAUGAAAAUUUUAUAAGAUUUUUUAAAUUUAUCUUAUUAAAGUGUUGCAAAUUGAUAGCAUAAAGCAUUUACAUUAUGCAAUUGAUUGUUUGGGUUAAUUACUAAUCGAUUAUUGUUCAAGGGUACAAAUUUGAAACUGUUAAAUAUCGAAGAAGUAAUCUAAAUUCUGAAUCCACACAAAUUUUUCAAUCUUUAAUCUUUGGGAGCAUAAUCUAUAAUUUUAUUUAAUGUACCAUACGGUUAUGUUCCUUAUAAUUAAUUUGAUUUGAGAUUUAAUUAUUGGUCAAUCAAUAUAUUGAUAUUAUUACAUUUUAAAACAAUAAGAGAUGUAGGACAUAGUAUAGAAAUGCUCAAUUAAGGCUCCGUUUAGGAUUGCGAUGCGUUCAUAGAAAAAGAGCUUUUAAGUACUUUUAAAGUAUUUGAUAACUAAUUUCUCGUAAUUUAAGUAGCUCAGUUUUUGACAAUUUAAAAACACUUGUGUUAGAAGUGCAUAUUUAUAAGUUACCGCAACCCCGUAUGGGACUUAAAGCAUAAACAUAAUGUUAGCUUAUAUUUUGGCCUUUAUUCCAUUUAACUCAAAGUAAAAAAAGAAUGGUCAAAAUCCAUGUGUCAAAGUUGCAUAAAUGAUUUAUAAACAAAAUUAGUUUUUAUUGUUUGGUAACUUCUUAAAUGCUUUCCUCUCCACUAAAAUUCUUUAAAUUUAUAAUACGUAAAAAAGUUUCAAAACUUUGUGGUAACAUAACUACAUUCCAUCACCAAAAUUUGCCCAAAAAAAUCGUAAAAAAUGGAGAAGAAAAUUUAUUUUUCAUGGAUUAACAAAAAAAAACUACUAGAUGAGUGGGAAAGGAUCUCAUCACUUGAUAAAUUCCCCCCUAGUCCAUAUUUCCCCAAUCACUCCCUAGAUUUUCUACUCCCGCAGCCGCAGGACCACAGCUUCUCCCUUUCUUGAAAUAUAUAUACCCCAAUCCCUCUCUUUCCCCUUUCAACUUUGUAUUUCUCCCCAGUGCACUGCCAAAAACCCCACCAACCCCUUUCCCCUUCGCCCUCCCACAACCCCACCGCCACCUGCUUCAUCACAGCCACCACCGCAAUGGGGAAAGGCUCAGCCUUGUCAGAUGGGUUGGUGAAGAAAAUCAUCCUCUCCUACACUUAUGUAGCCAUCUGGAUCUUCCUUUCCUUCACUGUAAUCGUCUACAACAAAUACAUCCUUGACAGAAAGCUCUACAAUUGGCCAUUUCCCAUCUCCCUAACCAUGAUCCAUAUGGCCUUCUGUUCAUCCUUAGCAUUUUUGCUCGUCCGAGUCCUUAAACUAGUCGAGCCUGUGGCCUUGUCUCGCCAGCUUUACCUCAGUUCAGUGGUCCCAAUUGGAGCCCUUUAUGCCCUUUCCCUCUGGCUCUCAAACUCUGCUUAUAUUUACUUAUCGGUCUCCUUCAUUCAGAUGUUGAAAGCUUUAAUGCCUGUGGCUGUCUACUCUAUUGGGAUUCUCUUAAAGAAAGAUACUUAUAAGGGCAACACUAUGCUUAACAUGGUUGCUAUUUCGUUUGGGGUUGCUAUUGCUGCUUAUGGUGAAGCAAAGUACGAUUCUUGGGGGGUUUUGCUUCAGUUGGGUGCUGUUGCUUUUGAGGCUACUAGGUUGGUUUUGAUCCAGAUCUUGUUGACUUCUAAGGGAAUCAAUUUGAAUCCCAUUACUUCUCUGUAUUAUGUGGCUCCAAGUUGCCUCUUUUUCUUGUUCAUUCCUUGGAUUUUUGUGGAAUACCCUGUUUUGAGGGAGAAUUCCAGUUUCCAUUUUGAUUUCGUGGUGUUUGGGACUAAUUCGCUCUGUGCAUUUGCUCUGAACUUGGCUGUUUUCUUGCUUGUGGGAAAGACUUCUGCUUUGACCAUGAAUGUGGCUGGGGUGGUAAAAGAUUGGCUUUUGAUCGCGUUUUCCUGGUCGGUGAUUAAGGAUACUGUGACCCCUAUGAACUUGAUCGGGUAUGGAUUGGCGUUUUUGGGUGUUGGAUAUUAUAAUCAUUCGAAAUUGCAGGCGCUGAAGGCAAAAGAGGCGCAGAAGAAGUCGCAGCAGGCUGAUGAGGAGAGUGGAAAGCUAUUGGGAGAGACAGAAGGGAAAGAUGGGGUUGAGGGAAUUGGCAAGAAGGGUGACACUCAGGCCUGAUUUGUCGGUGGAAGAUUGAGUUUGUGGAAGAAAGAUGGGGACAUUGACUAAUAAUGUACGAAGAAGAUGAAGAAAAAAAUCAGGGUCCCUCCCUCAGAGUGCGUUCUUCUUGCUCAUUUGAUGGGUCUGGACUUAGUAGCAAACUUUGAUAGGAUGAUUUGUUAGUUGUUAAUUGUGCUUUAUUUAGUGUUUGUUUCUUUCGGAAAUGGGAUUUGAGAUUCGUCAUUUCUCAGUUAUACGGCCAGUUAAUGUAUCCUAGUGGAGUAAGACUCCAUAAAACCUCAAUUUAUCUUCUUUAUGCUGAUACGUAAUUUCAUUUUUUUCCUCCUCUGUUCUGCAUGUAGGUCUAAACUUAUUAGUGUAUAUGAAAAUCAGGAUGCUAUGGUAUAACUAAUGCAGAUCUGGUCAUUAUGAUUUGACACUGUUGUUUAUGUUUGCUUGUCUGAUGAAGCGAAUGUUUGUUUGAAUUUGUGGAUCUCAUCGCAAUCAUCAGGAAGCGGAGCUAUAAAUAUGGGAACCAUUGCGCCAAAAGGAUUUGAAAACUCAAGUUUUGGAAUUGGAAGCCAUAAUAAUCAUUACUGACUUAGGCACAUUUUGGGACAUGGACCUGGUGUUUUUGUUGCAUGGAUGGGACUUUGUUGAAAUUUGCAGUAUAUAGUAGUUGCGUUAUUGGGGUAAACGUUUUUAGUGGUAGGAUUGUUCUUUAGAAUGGUGUGAUGUCUUGUAUUGUGAUGCUUGACGAAACUCUCUAUUUGUUAAAAGUUCAUUGUGUCAAACUGGCAACAUGAUGGGAUCAAGAGAAAUUUUCAUCUAAGAUGCAACAGGAAUAGGUUUAGCAGGAGAAGAAAGAAAACUGGAAGGAGGAAUUAAUAAUGAUUACACACAAGCUUCUUUCUGAAGGUCCAAAUAGGAUGCCAUUGCAAUCACUAUCAAGCAUUAAAGUAGUAGUAUCAAUAUCACUGGCAAUAUUGUAGUUGAAACUUGAUUACUACUAUUUUUAGAUGCCAAAAGGCUGGAGAAGAAAAUUUGCAAGUGAAAAAAUGCAUUCCAUGGUAAAUUCGCAAUUUGGCAGAAUAUUUUUGCCUCUCAACCCUGCAUAACGUGGGGUUAAUUUCGAAGAUAAAGCUUGGCUUCUGCAGUAGUUGCUUUUCUUGGAACCUUAAUCUAACUCGGAGCUAAUGGUGGUGGUAUUUGUUCCAAAGCACCAAGAAAAUUGUUAUCAAGGUAACUUGAUGCAGAGAGUAGUAUUAUUGGAACUCUUGAUUGAAUUUGGUAUUCCAGUACUUUGAAUGUGAUCAAAGAUAUAAAAGUUAACGAGUUUUAGGGGAAGGGAGGAGGCCGGGCAUGUGAAGAAAUGCAGCUAAUUUAUGGGAUCACAAGAAAUCAGUGGUAGAAUGAAUAUCAGACAAAACAUGUGUUGCUGAGUGAGGGAUGGUGAUUGCCAUACUGAUCUAAUUUUAGUAAUAUCUGCAUCAAGUCAUUGCUUAGUUGUUACUGAAAAAAAUCUUGAAGAUUUUCAUUAUUUCUCCGGCAUUUAGCUCUUACUAUUGUGACCUAUCAGAUACAGGUGAAACAUUUUAUCGGAUACAGGUGAAACAUUUUACUGACUAGAUUGACCAUGUUGCGCUUCAUUGCCAUACUUUUAGGGGGUUGAACACCCAAAAAUGCGGUGCUGCAUCUGUAAUUCUGUAUUGAAGAGGGAACUCUGAGGCCAAGACAUGCAAUCCAGUGCACUAAGAAAUUAUUCCAUUCCCGCACUCGGUGCCAUCUUUAGCUGUAAAGAGUAAGCCUAAAAUAGGCCGUCAUACUUUAAAGAAAUGAUGAUGACUCUAGGAGCUUACGGAAAUCUUCAAGCCCUUCUCCCUCCUUGCAUCUCAAUUGAAUCCUUUGUGGACUUCUUCCUCCCGGGUGCUAAUGGAUGGGGAUCAGAGUUUGUUUGGAUAAGAGUUUAUUUGAGAUAAUUACUGUAUCACUUUUUGUGAUGUGAUGUAUGUGAGAUAAAAAGGCGAUUGAAAAGAUAAAAAGAUGAUUGGGAUUUGUGAGACAAAUUAUUUUUUUUUCAAAAUCCUAUGUGUUUGGAUCGUAAAAAAUUACAUUUUAUUUACACACAUUGAUUUGUUUGCAUCAUCAACACAUUUUCCAAUCACCUUUUUACCUCACAUACAUUAUACUCCCUCGGUCCCAUUUUGAUAGUGCUGAUUUUUUUUCACACAGUUUAAGAAAAGUAGUUAAUUUUGUUGGAACAAUCAAUUUAGAUAGCUAUUUUUCUAAAAUACCCUCACAUUAAUUAAAGUACAAUUUUAUGGGAACUUGAAUUGAUGGUAAAAAAAAAAAUCAACUCUCAUUAAAUGGGGUAGGUUUAUAGUAAUAACAACUUACAUUGAAUAAGAGUAUUUUAGAAAAUUAAAAUACAACUACAUUCUUCAAUUGGAAAGUGAAUUACAAUUUGGGACAGACGAAAAAGGAAAACAGAACUAUCAAAUUGCGACAGAGGGAGUAUCAAAAAAAAAAAAUGCUACAGUACUUUUCACAAAAUUAUUUCAAAUAAUGUACAAUCCAAACACACUUAAUUCGGAGAACUUUCACCCAUGGGCAGGGAGCUCCUCUAUGCUAAACUCAUAUCCCGUACAAAUGUUAAUAUGUUGAUAUUGAUGAAUUAAGUCAUUAAUGUACCAAAGCUAUGAAUUGUAAAUGGAGGGUGCCUAACUUGUUUGGGUUGUAGUUUUCAUGGAAAAAUUUUUAUGGUGGGGUGUCUAAAUUGUUUGGAUUGUAGUUCCAUAAAUAUAUUUUUAUAUUUUUCAUAAACACAUUUUUUAAUUACCUUUUUAUUUCAUAUAUAUCAAAUUGCUAUAGUAUAUUUUUUUUAAUAAAAAAUUCUGUCAUUAUUGUACUUUUAAGGUGGUUUGAAUGCAAUGUGUAAGUGGUCAUUAGGGCCGUUAGGGCUGCCAUGUUCCACUAAUCUAAAUUGGGAUGGUUAUUAUGGUGCCAACUUUUGCCAAACAAUUUUGAUUUUAUUGGUAGAAUUUUAUGUCCUCAUGGUUAUGAAGUCAAUUCCAUUAAGCUGCAUGUUUCUUGGGUUGGGGGGAAGGGGAGGGGGGGGUGUUUGAAGGGUGGUGAUGGAAGAAGUGAAUUAUUCAUCAUUACUAGGCUAGCCUUGUUAUCUUUAAUCAAAUCACUGACACUUUUUCUUGAAUUAGAGUACAUAUAUAUAUAUUAUGAAUCACAGGUAUCUAUAUCUUAAUUUUGUUCGAGCUAAUCGGACCGUUUACGAAAAGAAUCUCUUUCAACGUUAUUCUUUUCAUUUUCAUGAAUUUUAAAUCCAAUACCUCGUGAUUAAAAGAUGCAAGUUCCUUCCACAGUUCCACCGGCACCAACAUCCAUUGAUAGUUUAAGCUCUCUGUGUGCCAUGAUGGCUAAAUAGGGCCUUGUGACUGGAACUGGGUGUCAUAUCAUGCAAGCGGACGGAAAUGCCCCCUUUAUCUUUGGGCCCCUGUGUUUGAUUGCCAAAAUGUAGCUAUUUAAUUCUAGUGGGCAAUACUUAAAAUGUGGUGCUUGUCCUCACCUGCUGCAAUGCGGUAAUACAUACAGCUAUUUAUUGGGACAAAUUUAGGAGAGAUGUAAUGAUGUGUGAUGCUAGGAGAAGUAGGUUGGUAGAUUUUCCUCUGAUGCUUUAAAGGUGAAAGUGGAGCUCUGAAGUUGUCCUUUUGGUCCUUAGAUUUAAUUAAUUCUCCACCCCUUUUGGGUAAAUAUUUCUACAAGUGGAGGAUGAAUUAAAUACCUGCAAGCCCUGGAAUUAAUAGAACUCUAUUUUACUGCUACCCUCUCGAGCCAGACUUAAUUCUUGAAUCUUAGACCUUCCUAAUUCCCAUAAGUUGCCACUGGGGAUUUGGGACAAAUCCUAAAGGCUCAAAGGCUUGGCCCUAGGAUCCAAGGGAUCAUCUCUACUUGCACUGUUCAUCUUCCCUGCCUGCUAAGCAAGGAGGAGGAAAUGUUGGACCUGUUCCUAUCUACCAAAAGAAAAAGAGAUGAAUUAAUGUCACAAAAUUUUUUGUGCUAUUGUCAAAACUAUCUUUUUAGAUAGCCAUCCUGGUCCAAAUUGACCUAGGAGAGUAAUAUUGGCAUGGAGGAAAAACUUAUUCUAACAUUAAAAUUGUGGCUAUACCAAUCUCAUCAACCAAGAUAUAAAAGUAUAUGGGCCAUUCCUUAAAUUCCAUCUUCUUCUUCUUCUUCUUGUAUUUGGACAGUAAAUUAUUUGAGAUAAUUUUGUGAAAAAAAUACUAUAGUACUUUUUGUGAUGUGAUAUAUGUUAGAUAAAAAGCUAAUUGAAAAAUGUGUUGAUGAUACAAAUAACGUGCAUUUCAAACACUUGUGCAUGUGUGAUGCAACACAAACUACACACUUGGAAAAUUUUAUUUAAGGUAAAUAUGGCUAACAGUCCGUACAACCAUUAACUCUACCAUUGUUGCUUCUUUCCACCAAACCGCCCUUUUCCACCAUAAUUGUGACUUCGUGGACUAAUAAUACCAGCAAGCCACUAACAAGAAUCCCAGAAUAGGCCAGUCAUCGUUUUUUUUUUUUUUUUGGACACAGGAAUAUCUUGGAAUCACUCAGAUUAAUCCCCUGCGGCUGAGCAGAGCCUGCCCCUUAGGAUGCCCAGCGCAUUAAUUCUGAGAGAGUCGAAUCGUGGUCGAUCGUGACGAUGAACUGACUGCUAGACCAGUUAACCAGACAGUACCCGACAUAGUUAAGUGCCAGAUGAACUCGCACAUUUAUCGCGAGAAAGGGCAAAGAAUCUCUUAGCAGCACCCUGUGGGGUUAAGUUCCCACAUCGCGUAGUUAAGUUCUUCAAAAGUUGCCGGCUUUUGUGUCUUGAGUCCAUUUAUGCGUUAUGGAGAAAUGUAGCUUUCAUCCGUACAUAAAUAAAUGCUUGUCCAGAACCAAUGGAGAGGAGAGGACGUGUGGGAUCAAGAUAAACACACUUAAGCGCAGAAGGGAAGUUGUUUAUCGUGGUGCUCUUGCCUAUGAGAGGCGUUUCACCUCAGCUAGUGUUGCUCCAACAUGCAGCCAUGCUUAAUUAGUCAGAGAAGUAAAUCUAUCCUCUGCAGACUGGUUAACCAUGUUAGAGAAAAUCAAGCAGUCUUUCGUACUAGUUUACUCAGUGGUUGACAAUGAAUAGCUCAUCUAGGCAUGAUGCAUUUUACAUGAUUAAUCGUCACAAGGAUCAAAGAAUCAUCUGCGUUUAAGCUAAUGAUGAUUGGUAAUAAGAGUCUCGAGUACUCGCGGAUGACUAACAAGUCAGGAUCAAAGCGGGACUGCCAAACAGCAGCACUGCCCGCCCUGACGGCACAGCCAUAUGAUUUCGUCACAGACUGUAUUAUCUGAACUGUCUUGCCCUUGCUUUGGAAUAGCCUGGAGAGUAUCAGGAUUAGAAGCAUUACCUGGUUUUCCUUCCUACUUUUUUCCCAUAAAAGGAACUAGCAGAGGGCCAUAAAGUGCCGACCAAUCAAUAUUGCUAUUACAAAAUUGAUAGCAAAAGAGGCAGCAGGAAUUUCAAGUUUCCCAUGUAUCUUCCCAUUGUGAUAGCUUCUACUGAGAAGGCCAUCAUCUGACCAUCUUCCCCAGAUAGGUAGCAGUUUUGAUCAUCAUUUUUACUUCCUCCACUUUUGUCAAAGAUGAAAGUUCCCAAGGAUUUGGAUUCAAGGAUGUGGACCCCUUUCUUUUUUUUUUUUUUUGGCUUCUUUUCAUCAUUGAAGAAUAACAUGGAGUUCAUGGAACUUUCUUUCAUAGGAAUAAUGUCUAGUAGACGGACUAAUAAGCACAAAAGUUCUAUAGAAUGCAAACUAAAUAUCGGAAUUUAUCUGAGUGAGGGAUUUUGAAUAUUCUUGAGAGUCUUCUUACAUUCUCUCACUAUUUGCAGGAAUUUAAGGCCUCUUCUCUUUGUAGCUGCCAUGAUGACUUGAAGAAUGUGGACUAUGGGAAUUUCUGAACACUUCUUAAAUUUGUACCAUUUAGUUUCAAACAGAAAUGUUAAGUGGCAACAAGCGCGCACACAGAACAAAUUCCAUAAGCCCAGGUCUGACUUACUUCAGAACCGAAACUGCCAUUAGGGUCCCCAAACUAAUGAAGACUGCCAAAACCAGAAAUACUCAACCAGUCUCUAGUGCUAUUUGAUAUAACGUACGUGUAGUGCUGCCAUUUGCCAGCUGCUUGCUUGUGAUGUACCACCACUGGACAAAGUGUAAACAGCCAAAAUAUGGGCAAGCAAAAUUCUCUCCACUGUUUCACCAGAAGUCUUUACAUGAGCAUAACCCAUCUAUGAAGUGGUGAAAACGGUUUCUGUCUCUGACCACUAUUUCCCUAUUGUAGAUCUUGGAGAUAAACUUAGUAGCAGUAUGACAAUCCUCACAAACACGCAAGUUUUUCACAAUGCGAAUAGAAGUUCCAGGAGGUGUCUUCAGAAGGGCAAAUGCAAUAGCCAACUUCUCACUGUGCCUGUUUAAAGCAUCUUCCUUGUCUUCCUCGUCAAUAUCAAGUAGAACUUCAGAAGUGGUAGCAACAUAUCCAGCCCUUCUCAUCUCCUUCCCCAUUUCGUCCAACAUUUCAUAAAUUUCUUUGUAUUCAUUAUGAGUUUUAUCUCCGGCAACAAAUUCAUAAAUCUCAUUAUCCAGCUCAAACAUGGUGCUACCUGGAGUUUUUCUAAUUCCCUUUUUCCCCAUAACCUCCCUAAUUGUUGUUUUUUUCUCCCAGUUUAACGAUAUUGCAUAGAUAUUAGACAGCAAGACAUAAUUGGACUCGAGCAUGGGCUCCUGUUUUAUGAGCUUCCUAGUCAUGCUUUCACUGAGUUUGAGCUCACCAUGAGCACGGCAGGCAGUGAUUAGUGCUCGCAAAAUGAUUGGAUUUGGCUCAAUGGGCAUACUCUCAACAAACUCCAAUGCGUCUUUAACAAGUCCGGCCCUGCUUAACAGAUCAACCAUGCACCCAUAAUGUUCUAUCUUGGGCACAAUUCUGAAUUCCUUCAACAUCAAAUCAAAAUACUGCCUGCCUUUCUCAACUAAACCAGAAUGGCUACAAGCACUGAGCAAUCCUAUAAAAGCAACAUCGUCAGGCACUAUUCCAGAACUCCUCAUGUCCUCAAACAAUGAAAUGGCCUCCAAACCACGGCCAUGCAUUGCCAUACCAACAAUCAAAGAAGUCCACGAAACAAUGUCCUUCUCAGCCAUGUUCCUAAACAACUUCAAAGCCUUGUCAACAUCGCCACACUUGACAAACAUGUCAAUCAACGCAUUGCAUAGCUCCACACUCUUCGGAACCUUCUCCUUGUCAAUAUAGGAAGACACCCACUUCCCAAGCUCAAGUGCACCCAAAUCAGUACAAGCAGACAACACUGACACCAUAGUAACCUCAUCAGGCCUCACUCCAGCAAUCUGCAUUUUCCUAAACAACCCCACUGCCUCACUUGACAUGCCCAACUUGGCAUACCCGCCAAUCAUCGCACUCCACGACACUGAAUCACAUUUAGGCAUCUCAUCAAACACUUUCCGGCCGAACUCAAUUCCUCCGCCACAAGAACAAUACAUAUGAACCAUGGUGUUCAAAACAUGAAUAUCAUCACUAAAACCAUAUUUCACCGCAGACCCAUGAACACUUUGGCCUAAACUCAACUCUCCAAUGCCAGCACAGGCCUUAAGAACAAACGGGUACGUAAAUUUGUUAGGAAAAAUGCAAUCUUUAAGCAUAAUUUUGUAGUAAAUCAGGGCAUUCUGCUUUGAAUCCUUUGUUUGAGCAUAAGCCCUGAUGACAGUGUUGAAAAGGAAGGUAUCAUAGAGAUGGGUUUUGGCAUCAAGGCCAAAAAUGAAGGAGGAAGCAUAAUCAAUGGCAUUGAGGUCAGAAGACGUGGAGGCCAACCUGGUGAGGACAAGUGGGUUCGUUUGAAGGCCUAAUUUCAGAAUGUGAGUGUGGAUUUGGGACAGUUUUGGGAAGUUGUUGCAGAGUUCCAAGAGGGCUAAGCAGUUCUGCUCUGCUGCUCUUUUCUUGCUGGCUGUUUUGGGUGGCGGUGGCAGUGUAUGAAGGUAGCGGAAUAGCUUGGUUUUGGAGAUAAAAGACAGCAUUUAGAUUGGCUGAUGUCCACAAUCUCUCGACCAAACCAUCAGGAAUUAGUGCCAACAAGAAACCUCAUGUCCUAACAAGUGGCUGGUCCCAGCUAUAUCCACGUCACCUCAACUCUUUCUGCACUGUUUUACAGUUAGUUUCAGAGUCAGAAUUGGCGCUUCAUCUUUCUUCUUUCUUUUGAAUGCUUCCUCUUUCUUCUUAUUCUUCUUUCUACUCAAUCUCCAAUUCCCCAUUCCAAAUCAACAUCUUUAAUUAGCAAAAGAGAUUCGAAAUUAAAUGAGAAAGUUGUCGUCUUUGAUCUCUCUUAGGUUCGCUCAUCAGACCUCAAAACACAACCCCUGUAAUUGUAGUGCUGCUCGAUUUUACUGCAUCACCAGUGAUUCUCCCCAUUCUUCCAUCUCCAAUCGCCCUGGUCAGUUUAUCAUCUCCCUUUAUGUAUGUCUGUUAUGUUGAGUAGUUGGUUGUUGAGCUUGAUCAUUCUUUUCUUGCAAUUUUAUGGAAUCAGAUUAAUUUUUUUUCAUUUACCUAGUUGGCUUGUCUAUUCAGUAGAAUGUGGCUUUAAGAAUUCUAUGUUAGGCAAUUUUAUGGAAUCAGAUUAAUUUUUUUUCAUUUACCUAGUUGGCUUGUCUAUUCAGUAGAAUGUGACUAAGGUGGAACUAAAAAUUUGAAAACAACUUUAAGUUAAGGACGUGGGAUUUCUUGAUUAUUUUUUGGCUCCUGGAAGAUUUAGCACAAUCUCACCAGCUAUAACCUGGAUGAAUCAAAUUACUUUUCUUUUUUAGCUCGUUCUGGGAAGAUAUUGCGUUUUGCCAAAGAAAGUAAGAAAGUUGUAAAAUUCUUUACCAAAUGUGAAACAAGCUAUGGAUUGAAUGCUUUUUAACGCAGUAAUCUUCUUUUCAAUCUGAUCAGUGGUAAAUUGCUGCUAGGAGUAGUAAAAUUGGGAACCAAUUCUAAGGAUUUGUAUUGACUAUUUUAGCAUUGAAAAUUGCGACAAAGCCUGAAAGUUUUGAACUUGUUCUCAAAAGAUAAAGAUGAUUCUGUUUUAUGUUCAACUUAUUGAUUUGUCUUUUUCACUACAGAAAUGUCCAAACUUAUUGACACACUAACUUAAGCCACUGCUCAGUUCUCUUCAUAUUUCGCAUGUCAAAAUUUGAUUAUAGUUUAAAAAGUCUGAAAAUUAUAUAAUGAGUCGCAAUUUCAUGAGCACUAAACCAUUAUACAGAAAGCAUAACCUCGUGGCUUCAUUGAGAAAAAUCGCAAGUUUUCUUCUCUAUCAUUCUUCCUUCCUUUUCACUUUAUUGCCCUCUCUUUGUUAGAUAUAUCCCAUUCAUGAAUAAAAGCCAAUGUCAUACUGUGUGAGUGAGAAAUAAGAGCAACUGAAAACUGGACAAAAAGCAGGUCAUGUGAGGUUUUUCUCUCAUGGAUAUGGCUGCUCAAAGGAUGGCUAGCUAGAGAUCUACCAUGUGGUCUUACUAGUUAAACCAUUCUGCGAAGAUUUCCUUUUAUAUGCUUGACUCCCUGGACAGAGAAAUGCUCCAAUCUUAACUUGUUAAUCUGUGAUCUCGGAGAAUGCUUCUAUGAAGCUUUUAUAUUGUUCUUUCUGAUGCUUGACAAACAGUUUAAUAUUCUGAAUGGAGACCGUUUAGCUUUGGUUGAUUAUUGAGUGAAGACUGCUUUAGUUGAUUAGUGUUUCUCUAGGGAGUCCAAGCUCUCAAUCACACAAUGUAUCUUGUUUUGCUGGGGACUACAUUUUACAUGGGUUAGGGUCUAUGAUGCAUUAAUAAAUGGAUAUUGUACUUUGUAAUGGAAAAUUACGUCAACCUACUGAGGGCUUUAUCUGUAUAUCCUAUUAAUUUUUUGUCCCACAUGUUUGGCCUAUUACAAUGAUAUACCUUCCACGCAUGAGGAGGGAGAGUAUUAUUUAAUUCCUCUACUCACAUGUUCAGCUUUUGCUGGUGGUUCUCCAAUGGAUUGUUGGUUAUGAAGAUCUAGAUGUGUUACAACUUGAUCCUGCAAUAGAGAACACUAAAAUCACUGGACAAAUUGCUCCCCAUUUUUGGCAGCAUUCAGGUUCUUUACUAGAUUUUCUAAACUGUAAAAUUGUCUGUUUCUUAGGUGAUUUACCUAAUAUAUCAUAAGAGGAGAAAGUAAGAUAGAGUUCAUACUCAAAGUUGGUACCCAGAAAGCUACCGGAUCAAUUAUUUUUUCCCCUGCCUCUUGCUCUGAUUAUAUGCUGAGAGAUUGUGCAUUAUCUUGUUGUGUACUUGUGUCUGCACAAUGCUCAAAACUUCAGAAUAUAUUUACCGACAAAAAGUAUAUAUUUAUUGUUGCUUCCAUCUUUUCUUACAAGAAUGCUUAGAGAUACUGAAUGCAGUGAUACAGUAUAUUUUUUAUCCCUUUGGAGCAUAAUUUUGUUAAGUGCAAGACAUUGGUUAUACUAGAUUAUCUGUGCCUUUGCAUUUAUUUUCCAAGUUGUUUAGCUGUGAACUCAAAUUAUCUUUUCAAUGGAUCUCCUGCAGGGCCACUUGCACAGUAUAGGAGUCUUGUUAAGCAAGGGAAGCUGCAGCAUGAUCCUUACCAGGAAGAGGUUGCUUUUAAACUGGAAAAUCUGCUUGGGAGAAUGGAGCAAUAUGAGAAAGAUAUGGAGGAGUACCAUGUAGGCCACAACAGUUUAUAGUGGUUAAAUAAUACUGAAACGCUGUUCCUGGCCUUAUGUUAUUCCUCAUAUUCAUAGGAAAAGCUUACCAAAUGGGAGGAGAAGAGGGAAAACGAACGGCGCAGGCUUUUGAUGCAGGAAGCUGAGACCAAACAAGAGGGGGGUGGUAUGACAUCAAUAAGCAAGCAGCGAAAUCUUUUCCAAAGAUGGAUGUCCCGGUAAGGCUAUCAAUUUUCCCUUGAUUUUGUAGCAAUACUGAAACUGGAUAUUUCAAAGAAUUAUACGUUGGUUCACAAAAAUCUGAAUAGGAUUUCCUGUCAUUGAACCAGUUGCGAAUUCUGUAAAGUUCAGCAUGAGGUCCAAUUCCUGUAUUUUGCUCCCUUCAUCAGUCAAAAGAAAUAUAUUUUUUCCCUGCUAGUGAUAUUUGUCUUCAUUCAGGAAGAAACAUGAAAUUGUAGAGCCAGGAGUAGGGAAAUGGGUCUCAUAUCUUAAUCGAGAGAAGAAAUUAGAUUCACUGGUUGGUCGUCGUCCCACUGCUCCUCCAGCCCCCAGAGGAUUGUAUCUUUAUGGGAACGUUGGAAGUGGUUCGUUCCUGCAUCUUGAUUAUCUGCACUUCCUUGCCAAUGCACAUUUCUGCACUUAAGAUUUCUAGUAUUUUACUACAUUAAGGCACUAAAAGGAUUCAAUGAUUUCACUUAUGUAUAAAGUAGACAUGCAAUCUAACAUGAAUAGCAUGUUAAUACACAGCAUCUCUCUCUAUUAAUAUUAUUCUGGUUUUGGUUUUACUUUUUCACAUACCAAUUUGAAGAAAUUUUUGCAUCAUUUAGGUAAGACAAUGCUUAUGGAUAUGUUUUAUGGUGCGACUGAAGGAAUUGUAAAACACCGAAGAAGAUUUCACUUUCAUGAGGUGACUGCAUACUGGUACAGAGCGUGGUGUAAUUUCACUAUGCCAUCUUUUGAAUUUUAUUAUGUGAAUUAUUUUCCUAAGCAGCUGUUAUGCAAUUCUACUUGGAAAAAUUUAAGUUACAAGUUCUUAUUACUUUCUGUUCAUUUGCCAGUCUCCACUUUGCUAGCUUUUAUUUGGUUCAUCAUAUCUUGUUUCUUCUUGGUUUCUCCUUGUCAAUGUUGGAUGGGCAUAUGUAAGCCCUGCUAUAUCUUCUUUGACUUCUGGCAUGUCUUUCUCUUGACUGUAAGGCAUUUGGUGAGAGAACCCUAGGCAUUCCAUAAGAUGAUAAACCACAAACAAAAGACUUGUAGAGUUUAAGGCAAAUGAGAUUAAAAUGGAGCAUAUAUUGCAUUUAUUCUAAUUAUAGCUUCUUUUUGCUUGAUGCUUCCUAUCAAAGGUAUAACAAACUCUCAUGGAUUCCAUAUUGAAAGUUCUGUAGUAGGUCUAGUCGUUGCUCUAUCCUUGUUUUUCUUGGUAAGAAGCUUAAAACUGAUUGAUGGAUGUAAACAAGACUUUCUGGGUAGGUAGUGCAAGAAGGCAGUAGUUAAAAAGUUGAUAACUACUUCUGUAAAAGCAGAAGAAGAAUGAAUCAAACUUUCAGAAUUAGCACAUCAUGAAGUUGGUACAGGAGGAUAGAAUCACAGAACUAAUAGGGAAAUAUUUAACGUGCCACAGUAGUCAGUGACACCACAUUUGCUUUACCUAUAAUGUUUCUCUACAAACCCAUCACGUGUAGAUAUCAACACUAACAGAUGGAGGAGUAGGUUUUAUAUUAAGACCACUCUGUACCAACUAAUGCUUUGGCAAAUCAAAAGUACUUGCUCCUCAUCUGGCUUGAGGAAUGUUGACCAACAGGAAGCAUGCAGAACACAAAUAAAGACACACACACACACAUACACAAUAUAAGUUGGUUUGGGCUUAACUUGCUUCAAACCUUAAUUUUUGCGGAUUUUCAUUUUUGUUUCCAUAAUUAUUUUUUUAUUGCUCUUUAAAAAUGUCUUUUCUCGACAGGCUAUGCUGUUAAUAAAUGAGCACAUGCAUAAGAUAUGGAAGGAUCAAGUUAAGAAUGAAAGUUUGCAGUCCACUAUUUCUAGUUGGAUUACUAAUCUUCCCUUUGAUACAAAAAUUAAAGAGUGGUUAGCUGCAGAAGAAAGAUAUAAGCAAGAGGUGCAGAUGAAAAACAUCCUUCCUGCUGUAGCUGAUAAGUUUCUCACUGAAGCCCAUGGAAAUCAUGCAGGAGCUAGCCUUCUGUGCUUUGAUGAAAUACAGGUCUGAUGAUGUAAUGUUUCAUAGAUUUACUUUAGUGGUUCUUCAAGAAUUAUCUACAUCCUUACCUACAGAUAUCUGUUACUGUCUUCUUUAUAAAUCCUUUUUUUGUUAGUUAUCUGAGCAAGAAUAUUAGGUUCAACUGAUGUUUGUUACUAUAAGUGGGAAGACAGAAUAUUCAAGUUAGUCAUCUACUGUAAUAAAAUGUUUGAGUUCUACCCUUGUAGAAUUCCUAAGUACAAACAUGAAUAACAGACCCUGUUAAAGAAAUCUAAUUUGCAACAUGACUAAGUGUUAUGUUAUUGUACUACUACAUCUAACGUGAUUCAUUUUGUAGAUCAGUUUACUGCUACUUGAACUGGAUAUUGGAAUUAUAUUAUGAAGCAGGUUUUGUUUUACCUUAUAUUAUUUUCUGCAAAUGAGUGGGGCAUAAUUUUUCUUUGAAUGAUUAAGUUAUAUUCUUUAUUUCGUGCAAAUUUCUGAGUUGGAUUGAAAUUUUGGAGACGGAAUCUUUAAAUUUAAUAUCUUACUUGCUCUUGCAGACAGUUGAUGUUUUUGCAAUCGUAGCAUUAUCUGGAAUUCUAAGUAGAUUGUUAAGCAAUGGAACAAUUCUUGUUGCCACCAGUAAUCGUGCACCGAGAGACCUGAAUCAGGUGUCUUUAUACUAAAUCUUCCUAAUACAAACUGCAUAAAUUUAUGUUUUUAUGCUUCCUUUGGUGUUCUAUCCAGGACUCUGUGACAUGCUAUGCAUGGGACUUUGAACAUAUAUUGCACCCCAUAUAAAAUGUUGCUGCAACUUCUCUCCUUGCUUUCAGGAUGGUAUGCAAAAGGAAAUCUUCCAAAAGCUUGUAGCAAAAUUGGAUGAACAAUGUGAUAACUGUCUAAUAGGAAGUGAAAUUGACUAUCGCCGUCUGAUAGCAAAAAGAUCUAUUGAUCAGGUGAGCAUGAAGGCAAAUCAAUUAUCUUUUCCAUGUGUUUCUGUUUUUAUGACUUUUAGUUGUGAAAGAUGUGAUGGCCACAUCCUUUAUUACCAUACAUGCAGAUGUACGAGUAUUGUACAGAACCUUAAUGAUUGACAAAGAGAGCAAUAAAAAGAACAAGCUUGAAAAUUUAAGCACAUUUGAAGGUGUAUCCUGGAGAUAGCUCUGAAUAAUGAAUGGUUUGCUAAACAAGAAUGUGGUAUUACAUUGCAAUAAGAUUCAGUUUCUUUUUGUCUAAAUUCUUUAAUUGGUCCAUUCAUCUGUAGGAAUAUUCACACUCGUAACAUUUCUAAAGAUUCUCCUGGCAAAAAGAUGAACUUGAGUCUUAGUUGGUGUGGUUGAGAUGUACAUUUUUGUUUCUUUCUGAACUUAAUUGAAUUUUCUAUAUUCUACUUCAGUCUCAUCGUCUUCGUUGCUCCAAUAUAUUGGUUAUCUGUUAGUCAUAGAAUAAGUCCAACCUGUACUUAGAUGUUGUUUUUGGGGUUAAGUGCAUCUCCAUUUUCCUAUGUCUAUUCAGGUUCAUUAUUUUUGGCCACUGAAUAGUAUCAAAACAAAGGAAUUUGAGAUUAUGUGGGACAAGCUUACAAGACUAUCUGGGGGAAUAAUCACUUCAAAGGCAAUUCGAGUGAUGUUUGGGAGGUACUCUUCAAUCUAUCUGCGUCCAUGUUACUGAUAUAUCUCACUCAGCUUUUGAUAUUGCAUUUUUUUCGCAAUCAGAACAUUGGAGGUUCGCCUAAGCUGUAACGGUUUGGCACGUUUCACAUUUGAGUACCUAUGCGGUCGACCGGUAAAUUACUUCAUUUUGGGCAAAAGUAUCUUUUAUAUUGUUGUGCUAUUUAAAUUAAUACCAUCUAAAUCAUUCUUUCUUCAAAAUAAUUUAUAAGCUGAAACCUGCCUAUAAUGAUUUAGGAUUGUUUAAAUGAUGGUACUGUAAAUAGAAAAGCUCGAAAUAUAUAGAUUGUGGUUUAGUGUUUUUUUAUAGUAUCACUAAUUCAAAGCUAGUCUAUCUUUUUUCUCUCUCUUUUGGCGCUCUGUUCAUGCUGGAACAAUUUCUAUUGUGUGUAUGCUGAUGCAUAUUUAGUAUCAUUCAUUAUCUGAAAACAUUCGAAAACAGAAGCAAUAUCUGGUCGAUUUUACAACUAAAGACUGUUAAACUUGCUUUGACUCUUUCUAAGAUUUGUGCCUCGUAUAUUUUUGCACAUCUUUAAAUGGAAAUCCUUCCUUCCAUCUUGUAAUGUACUUUUGCAAACAAAAGGAAGGAAACUUGAUGAAACAAAUGAAAAUAGCUAGGUCCAUGUCUAGAUCAAUAUUCAAAGAGUUCAUACUGUCAUAUUAUUGGAUAUUACUGCAAAGAAAAGCACUUUGGUGGAAAAAUAUGAGUAUUCCUUCCUAAAAAAUAUCUUCGAAGUCUCAGAUGAUUCUUACUGUUUGUGAGUGUAUACUAAAGCUAUCAAUUCCUGUCCCUGAUAGAUGAACCAACCACUCAGUGACAUCUGCACUGCAUUUUAAUUUAAUUUUUUGAUGCUUGACCUUGUUGCACGUCCCCCUUUACCUUCUUUUUCCUGUUUGAUCCCAUUAGCAAUUAUUGCAGGUUGGAGCCGCAGAUUAUAUUUCUGUAGCUAAAAAUUACCACACGAUCUUUAUCUCAGACAUCCCUACUAUGAGCAUGCAAAUUCGUGAUAAGGUACCAAGGCUGCUUAAGUGAAUGCUAUUUCCUUCAGUACAUCAGUAUCAAUUCCUACAGCAUUUUUGUGCAUGCAAGUUUUUGUGAUUUACAUCAGGCUUUAAAUGAAUAGAUAUGCUUCUUAUCGCCCAUGCUGUUCACUUGACAUUCUUCUUUUUCCUUCUUUCAGUUUAAUGUAAGGAGAAAUUGCCUAUUUUUCACUUUAGUCUUUCUUUUCUUAUUUUACCUAUUACAUCAAGGGGGAAGGGAGCUUUUGAAGGUCGAACAGGUUCCCUUAAAAUGUCAUCUCAAGGGAAAAUCAUACUUGUCUCAAGGUUUAUGAUAAACUUACUUCGAAACUUACCAGCCACCAUUAGUAGUAUACAAUAAGAUAAAGCUUCUAGAUUCCUGAUUGCUAUGCACUUAGCUUGAGUUUGAACAUGUUCCAUGGAUCAUGGUGGCUUAUUCAGUCUCAUGGAUGGGUUUCUGAAGUACAGUCGCCCUCAGUGUAUUUAGGGAUCAUAGUUUUCAGCAUACUAAAAUAUGGUGCCAUUUUAGUGAAACAAUUUAAGGCACCUUUUAAGGACAACAGUUUACAAGCUACCUAAUAGAUUGCUCUAUAUGCUUGCAAGGUGCUUGUGCAGUUUAUCAGGUUAUCCUGUUUUUCUUGGAUAAGACUGACCAAUGUGUGAGCAUUCUAAAGCUUCCAAUGAUUAUCUUAUCUUUGGAAAGCUAAGACAAACUGAUAGACCGACAGUCUAAUAAACAGAUUGAUAUUGCUUCUGUAUGAUUACCAGCUACAAUUACCGAUAAUGGGUUUCUCGCUUCCAGGCUCGGAGAUUUAUAACUCUCAUUGAUGAACUUUACAAUCACCAUUGCUGCCUAUACUGUUCUGCUGCUUCUUCAAUAGAUGACCUAUUUCAAGGAACUGAAGAGGGCACACUUUUUGACUUGGAGAGGUGAGGAAAUCAUUUGAUCAUUCUUCUUUUGUGAGUUUCUUGACACAUUGGUCCAUGGAUGACCCCCACACCCUUUGGCUUUGCUUAGUUAGCUCUUUCAUCUUUUGACACGCAUGAGUUUCAUCAGAUAUUAUUUUACACUACCUAGCAUACUUGCAACAUGUCAUCAAUUCAUUAUAGAUCAAUGUUAUAUAACAAAGUAUUCCCUAAAAGUAUCAAAAUUCUAUUAUGAGAAGUUUCCUAGAGCCAUGGAGGUUUUUUUUUCGUUUUUUUUUAAUUAUAUCUGUUUUCUGCUUCUUUUCUCCUGAGCAGAGCCAAGUUCUUUCAUUAGCUAGGGUUUUAUUGUACCAUUUUGACAUUGUUUCUCAUGAUGCAAGUUUUAUGUGUCAAUUUUCAGUGAAAAAUGUGUGCUGUGCUUUACCUCUGCUUACGGUGUGCCCUAUUUUCAUUUUUGUUUUUCCUAUAUUCUGACAGUUCAGUUUUAUGUUGCCCUGUACGUCUUUAUUUUUUCUUUUUAUGACUUAGUGUGCUUUUGGCCUAAUAUCUCAUAAUGUUAAUUAACUAUGAUUCGUCAAGGACAAUCCUAAAGCAUUAAUAUACAUUAGAGAGAGAGAGAGAGAGAGAGAGAGAGAGAGAGAUGAUUUACUUGCUGCGAUUUCAAUGAAUAAUUGAUUUUAGUAGAAUAGAUUGUUAUGUUAGUAAUACUUAUGAAAGGAUUCGAGGAUUAAAAGACCAAAUAUGUUGUCCUUGUAUGCAGACGUGAUAUUUCCCUCCAGAAAAUGAAUCAUAACAUUUUCAUUAACAGAGUGAUGUGAUAAAUUGAUCAAUUCAAAUUUAGGCACAAAUAAUUGUCUCUUUUUAAUGCAAAAGACAUAGUUUUAUAUUACACAUUGCUUCCCAAAUGGUAAUGUCAUCUAAACCUGCUAUUAAGAAAUCUAAGGGUAUGCACUAGGUUGGUAGCAUGAUAUCAGGAUUGGCAGUAAAAUGGAUAUAGUGAAUUUACUGUUUUAAAAGAGUAUGGAAGUGACUUUUGGCAUAGACAUUACUUCUCUUUUAUGUCUGGUGACUGAUGAUCAAGUUUCUGGUCAAGUACAUUCUCAGUGAGAAAAACGAAUCAAAUAUGAAUGGAUAACAUUCGUAAGGCCAGUCUUUGACCCGUCUAGAGUUGCUGGAAAACUUUAAAGUUUAAGCAAUAUGCCAUCUACAUCACCUGUCUUUUAGCUUCAACUUCUGUCUUUGGUUAUAAAGACUACAUUGGUUCAUUUCUGCUCUCCUUUUCCAGCUUCCAAUUUGAAACAGAGACUGAAGGUGCCAAACUGCGACGAGAUGUUCUAGCAGAGGGCACAGUUAGUUCUGGUGGUACACCAACUGGAAUUACUUCCAUGCUAUCUGGUCAAGAGGAGAUGUUUGCAUUUCGCCGAGCUGUAAGUCAUUUUUUGCAUGAUUGUCAAUUUUUGCCGUCUUUUAUCAUGAAUGUUCUACAUUUUUUCUGUCAAGUCAUAGGAAAUGCUGUUUCUAAGUCCAUAGUUUAGCAUGUUAAACCUUCUCAUAGAAGGUUAUUGCAAUUUCCCUGAAGGGUUAAUCGCAGUAAAACCCCAUCAGGUUUAGCAUGCUUUGCAUGUUAGUCUUAAAGUUACUUUCUCCCACUUUACUCCUCCUCCCAUCAGGUUGAAAAGGGCAUCGUUGCCCCUGGCUUGAAUAGGUUACUUAUACUAAACUCCCUUAACGUUUAUUGUAAUGUUUACUCCUUGAGUUAGUUUUGUAACACUUAACCCACUAUUGCCAUUGAUGAAAACAAGUUUGUCGUCAAAACAACUAAGACUUGUACCCCUGGCAACAUUCAGACAGUGUCCCAUGCUGCACCCAAUAAUACCUGCUUCAUUAGACUAGCAGAAGAAAUUGUCAUGCUGCCAUAAUAAGAUGAAUCUGGUGGAUUCAUUAACUCAGUUCUUGACUGGUGUAUUCGCCAUGGCCUAAGAUUUGCUAUCAGGAAUAAUCUGUUAAUAUCUUUUGUUCUAUCUUUGUUAUCUGGUAAGUUGUGGUUGUGAUUGUGGCCUCUAUAUACUGUACAUUAGGGCAUGAACUAAAAGGCUGGUACAUGCAGGUUUCCCGCUUGAUUGAGAUGCAAACACCUUUAUACCUGGAAGGUGUCCGCCAUCUUCAUCCGUAUUUCCAGAAUCAAAAGGAAAGCUUUGGUACUCUUAAUGCAAAAGCAACUCAAUUUCGGGAACCAUCUCUUGAAAUCAUUUGAUGUGUACAUCACGUCGAAAGUUUUAGUACAUUUUUUGUGCUCGUUUGCCAUCAUUUAAUAGGAUAUACCGAUAACAAAGGGAAAUGAAUUUUUAAACAACAUUUUGCUAUCUAGUUCUGUUCCUAUUUCCAAGGAUGCCCUUUUCCUCUUGAUCUUCGGCCCGUAAAAUUACACGUAUAUAUAUAUAUAUAUAUAUGGAAGUCAAAUCCCUCUUCAUAUCCUGCAAAAGGUGUGAAGUAAAAUAUUAAGCAAUGGAGCAACCGAAGAACAUAGUGAAGAUAAUAAGCUGGAGACAAGGAAGAAGUGUAAGUACUGGAUGUAUUCAAUGUUGAUUUUGGCAUCAGGGUUGCGGGAGAUAGCUGCAAAAGCAUCACUAGACAAAACAAUGGUGGAAGGGCAUGGGCGUCUUGGGCAGAAAUCCACCACCCUAACGUCGAUGGUGGUGCCAAUAUCUCUGCAUGGCUUGUUGUUGCCGCUCAAGCAUCUUAAUCUGUAGCGUCUGCCGCAUGCAGCCCCGUUAUCCCACAGCCCUUCACUCACAGCAACGAACAGAUUUCCUGCUGGAAACUGAUCAUUUCUGUUUCCCCCGCACUUGGUGGCUGCACGAGUUAAAUUUAGAGUAAAUUUUAUAAUCAAAUUCCAUAUCCUUCCUAAUACGAUUCUCAAACAACUGAAAAAACAAAAAAGCUGCUGCUAAAUAAUGAUAUAGAAACUUCUGAGAAAUCAAAUGUUGCUCACGGGUAUAUGGAGGAUUGUAAGAAGUGGCAGUGCCAAUGUCUCCAAGGACUAAGUUUAUUUUAGCCAGACUGAAUAUGCUGAUUAAGACAAAAUUGAAGCGGAGGAGAUCCAUGAUUAUGGCUGUGGACUUUACUUCUGCCUAGGUAGGGUAGCUUGAUUCUCGACUUCGGAUGUGGGGGAAAUGUGCCUAAUUUACCUCAAAUUUAUACUAGCUGUAGAUAAAAUCAGCCCCAGGUUUCAAACUGAUCUCUAAACCGUCCCCUUUAUUUUUUUAUUAAGGUAUUUGAAUGUGGAUAGCUACUAAGAAAAGUUGCCAAUAUCUAAGCUGCAAGCAGCACGAGUACUUUUGGUUGGGAAUCAAUGGCAAUUGCAGUCCACGUUGACAAUGGAUGGUGAAAUGAAUUCAGCUUGUUGACGAUGAGAGGAGGGGUUGAGCGGAAAUGGGGCAGGAACGGUUGUCUCUGAAGGUUCACAGCCACGAUGUAGCCUUAAAAAUUUGUGCGGUUCAGAUUACAGCAUGUAACUCGAUUUUCACGCCAUGUGUGGAGCCCACAAAAAAGUGUUGUAAGAUUACGUCGUGUGCAAUGGAAGUUACACGCAGUUGAAAAUGAAUACAACCUGCAACUGUUUGUGCCCCGUGUUCGGGUUGAGCAUAUGGUUUCCUGCGUCAUGCACAAUCUUUCCACUUUCCCCUAGAAAUGUUUUGUUUUUUACAAACAUGGUACGCUAUCAAACUACCAUCAAUCACAUUGUUCAUAAUCAAAUAGGGUUUUGGAAAUUUAGCACAUGUCACUAAAGAAAUACAGUAGUAGGUUUCAAGAAACUUCAUAUAUAUAUAUAUAAAUCAUCAACCCACUCUUAUAAAAUAUGUCAUCAAAGGAAUCACAAUCGUGUUGGUAACAUGGUUCAAAGUCGCUGUCGUAGUUGCGGUCGCGGCUCAAACUGUUCCACAUCUGUCUCGACGUAUCGACCGCGGUCGCAAAUUUUUAAAAAAUUUAAUAUUUUUAAAAUUUGUAAAAAAUAUAAUAAACAAAAAUAAUAAAAAUUCAAGUUGACUUGGGAUGAUUCGGAGUGACUCGGGACGAUUCGACCGUUUCUAUCCAUUUCGAAGACGUCUUGGUUGAGUUUUCGGUGAUUCGGUCAAGUUCUCGACAAUUCAUCAUCCUGGUAUCGGAUUGGGAAGCCCCGUUCCGGUGACAACUCGGCCGAGUCUUUGAACCAUGGUUGGUACACUAACUAAGGUCUCUGUUAGGAAGAGUACAAUGUUCAUGUUUUCUCUCGGUUACAUGUUUACAACAUGAAAAAUAACUCAACUGUCAAAUAUUAUAGCUGAUAGCUCUAAGUGAUGUGAAGGCCGUGCUACGGAAUUCAACUAACAUACCAUGUAAGAUGUCCAAAGUAAAAGUCCACGGACCGCCACUAAUGGACGACUAGCCUGCCCUGGAAAUCAAAAGACAAAUUCCCUUUCAGUUCUUGCACAAGUGGUCGGUGCUGUUUAUAGGUUGAAAAUUGAUGAUCAUCAUAGCAAUACUGAUAUGAUGAAGCACUUCCCCAUUGGGGGGGCGGAAAGUGGAAGGCUUAUCCUGAGUAAUGCAGGUGGGCAGCGACACUGCCGAUGCUACUACUGGACGGCCGGCCGGACAUUCAACACUGGGACUGGGGCUCCAUUGUUCAUAAUAUCGUUGCUCCAACUUAAUCAGGAUUAGCCGCCGCCUCCUCCCCUUUUCUUUCUUUUCGUUUUUAUUUUUUUGGCUGUAAAUGUAUUACGGAGGCCGUCCAAAAGCACAUGAAAUCCUCAGUGCCACUUUCUCAAUGUCACUUCUAUAUUUAUAUCAAAUAUCCUGUUUGUUUAAUUUAUCAUGUGUUGUUUAUUAAAAUUUUUUUUACCAUCACAUGAUAAAUGGGAUUGAUACUGAAUUUGACACCGAAUAGUGUGGCACAGAAGAUCGCAAUUGAUCCAGAAGGACCGGAAGUUAUCUCACUAGAUUUAGCGCAUGCAUGCAUGCACUAAGUAGUUGUGGCACAAAAUCAUGAUUGCUUUGUUGAUAAAUUUAGCAGCGAGUGGAGUGAUCCAAAAUCUUACUACUAUCUGAAUAAAUUUCAAGAUCCCAAAACAUGAUAAAUGAUAAUGCUAAUAUACUUAAUCGCAAGACUAUUGACCAUAAAAAGAUCAUGGGAGUGACUUGGCAAUUUGUGACUCUAUUUCAAACGUGAUAAAAAAUUAUUAUAAUUGGAAUACACCAACUCGUUAGUGAUAGAAUUGGAUAUGCACUUUUCUAUGAUGAGAUUUAAAUAUAUAUAUAUAUAUAUAUAUGAGGAUCCCCCUAGAGCUAGCCAUAAUUUUUAUUGGCUAGGCAUCUUUUUGCAUUGUCAAACGGGAUAUGUUAAGAAUUGGCUGCCGGGCGAUUAUGUUAAAGAGGUAAAACUACCAUAUUUAUGUGGAGUGCAAAACCCCUCCAAAUGAUGUGCCAAAAGGAUUCAUUAACCUUGGUUAUCAAAACCAUGCAGUUUCUACACUUCAUUUUUUUUUUUCCCUUGAAAGCACGUCCUUAAUUUUGUUGUGUCAUUGACUUGGCAAAUUCUAAUUUCUGUAUAGUGAUCAAUCAUCAGUGAUCACAAACCAUUCUAAUCUUGGUUUUGGGUAAAAUGUGUGAAGUGAUAACACUAGUCAAAGUAUUCAAAAGGCAAUUAUUUGGAGAUCGUUGACACAAAAUUCUGCACGCCGGAAUCACACAUCAAUUCCAUUGUUGCAAAAUUGAAGGCACGUUUGGUCUAAGUUUAGAAAUCGGAAUUGUAAUUCGAAUCAAUUCCAAAAAUUCAGUAUGGGUUUUGAUCAAGAGUAUCAUUACAAUGAUUAGUGUUUGGUAUAUAUUUAUAAGGUUUUGAAAUCAACUUAUUUUUUAUUUUUUUCUUUAUUUUUUCUUCUUUCCCUUUUCUUGCCUUUUCUUCCCAGCCCUUAAGUACUCAUGAUUCACCAAAUUCUCUUGAACCACCAGCUGACCGUCACCAUUACAAUCUGUAGAGCAUGGGAGAGCAACUGACAAGAGAUGAGAGAAAGGCUUACACAAAAAGGGGGGGAAAAAAAGAGAGGAGAAAGAACUAGAUGGAGAGAAGAGACUGUCAUGAAGUAUUGGAGGAGAGAGGAAGAGAAUGAAAAGAGAAGAAAGGGGAAAAUGAGAGAAAGGUUUACAAGAAAUAAGAGAAAGAACCAUAUGGAGUGGGCCUGCUGCCAUGGAGGGUUAAAGGAGAGAGUAAAGCGAGAAAAAAGAGAGAGAAAGAUGAUAAUGAAAAUCUGCUCUGGAAGAUGGGAUGAGAGAGAAAAUCUGAUUGUAAGAUGCUGCCAUGGAGGUUGAACCGACGUGAUAGAGUGAUAAAGAUAGAUAUGUUAUCUUUUCUUUUUUAAUAUCCUCAAGUUAAAUUGAGACAAAUUUGAGAAUCUACCAAAACCUACCAAUUUGUUGGGGAUUGAGAAUUCCUAAAUUUUAAUGAUUCACUCCAAGAUUCUAAAUCCAAUACAUACAAUCCAAAUAGCAAGAAUUGGAAUUAUUUCAAUUCCUCAUUCCGAUCCCCUUUUACCAAACCGCGCCUAAUACUUGAAAUUAUUGAAAAUUACUGUUACAUUUUCACCAACCAAUUAACAACAUGGUCAUGAACUUGGACUUCUCAACCAUUAAAGUAGGAACUGAGAACAGGACAAGUGAUUCACGUAAUAUCCAUAUAGCUAGACGAGGACCACUUGGGAUCCUCGGUGACAUGUUUUCUAUGCCAACCCAAUGCCACCGAUAGUGUUGCGCCAAGUGUCUUGUUAUUAUUUAAACUUGUGUUAAACAAGCCAAAUUGAAUUAUUGGAAAAUUAAAGUGUAAAUAAUAACAAGACACUUGGCGCAACACUAUUGGUGGCAUUGAGUUGGCAUAGAAAACAUGUCACCGAGGAUCCCAAGUGGACGAGGACAUGUACAUAUUAUAGAAGCUUUAUGCAUACCACAACUAAAAGUGGGAUAAGGCUGCCUUUUAAGUAAAAGUCUAAAACUCGAGAUAUAUAACUCCCAUCACUAUGAAAAAGUUAACUAUUGACGAUUACCAUGCAAUGACAAUUAUAUUAAUUAACAUGGCGGCAGUGCCCUGAUUAAAAUGGUUCUUGAUUAGUGGCGGCUAAUCAAUCAUAUAGCCAAGCGUCUCUAAUCUCUAAGAAGAAAUGAUUAGGAAGCAUGCGAGAAUAUAUUGGUGCACUACUUGAUUAGUACGAAAGCGAUGUACCUAGGCCAGGCCACGUUGAAUAUUUAAUUUGGUCAGUUUUCUGUUUAAGCUUUCCACCACGGAUCAAAAUCAUCAAAAAAAAUGGGUCAAAGCUGUAAUGGGAAGUCAGAGUGGACAUGGGAUCAAUGGAGAACAGAGAGAAUUGGCAAAGCAGGAUGAUGAUGAUGAUGAUGAGGCGCAGAGUUGACAUUAAUCAAUGAAAGCUUGAUAAGCUGCAUGCGUCCGGGUUGCAGUUCUGGGAUUUUCCUGUUUCAAUUUUCCAGUGGAGAGGGUCUCAUGAGAUGGGCAAAAAAAAAAGACAACUUUCUAUGAGUAUUAUUCAUCGUUUUUUUGUCAAAUACCUAUGCGACAAAAUCAUGCAAAGGCCAUUUUCGCCUCAUGCCUAAGUUGAGUCAUAGUAUCAAACAGAAGUCAAUAUUGUUAAUAAAUUAACUGAAAAUCGUCCGGCACGAUUUGUUGAACAGAGAAAAUUGCACUAAUGACAGAAAAUAUACAGAAUAUGAAACAUGUCACAGAUAAUUAUGCCCUUGUGUAAUGUAUUUGAGACUUAUUAAAAGAUGGUCUAAACUAAACAUGCAACUGAAGAAUUGCAACAUCACGGAUAGUUUACUUGUUAACCAUUUGUGACCCUUGAAUAAAGUGUUGUAACUUGAGUGUUCCUGAUUAAUUAGAAGGCAUUCUUUUGCCAUAAGUUGUGAAUUUUCAUUCGCAUCUGAAGAUUUCUGAGCUUCUUAGCAAAACUUGUAAAUUCUAACAGCACGUGGUUGAUAUACUUGGUUUUUCAACCUCAUUUUCUUAAUAAUCCUUCAAUUAGCAGGCCUCGAACUCGAACUCGAACUAUCACAGGGGAAGAAAAUAUUUGGAGCAUCCCUAAAAAGAGCGAGUGAGGUUCAGUUUAUUUAAAAGCUAACCUCAAACUCCCUUGAAAGUUACUCCCUCCGUUCCACUUUGAUAAUCCUGUUUCUUUUUUCACACAGUUUAAGAAAAAGUAGUUAACUUUAUUGGAAAAGUAAAUUUAGAUUGCUAUUUUCCUAAAAUACUCUCACAUUAAAUAUGGUACAACUUUAUGGGAACUUGAAUUGAUGGUAAAAAAAGAAUCAACUCUUAUUAAAUGGAGUAGGUUUAUAGUAACAACUACUUACAUUGAAUAAGGGUAUUUUAGAAAAAUUAAAAUACAACUACAUUCUUCAAUUAGAAAGUGGACUACAAUUUGAGACAGAUGAAAAAGGAAUACAGGACUAUCAAAGUGGGACAGAGGGAGUAAUUAACAAUCUAUUGGUAUAUUAAUGGAAGGAAUCUGCCUACAGAUAAUUAAUGCUAAUAAGAAAGGUCGACCCUCCAAAAAGUCUUUAGAACUGUUAGUAAGAUGGCCUUCUAAGAUUACAAAAGUUCAUGCAACACUAGGUUUGUUCAUAGGGCUUGUUCUUGGUUGAUUUAUUUUAGGCGAUCAUAGAUUUUAAUUUUGAAUAAUCUGUUUUGUGAUGUUUCGUUUAGUUUACUUUUAUGUUCAAAUUAUAAAUUUUUGAACAAUAAAAAAAAAACUAAAAUCAUCCCAAUUGAGUUUUGGUUGACCAUGUUUUGACUUCAUGUUUUGGUCCACACGAAUAGGAUACCUAAAGAAUAGGUAUCCUAUUCUUUAAUCAAAAACAGAAAAAGAGAAUAGGAUACCUAAAGCUGGGCAUAGUGAUUGAAUCAAACAAAAUGUUGAAAAACAACUAAGGUAUAACGUUUCACACUUCAAAAAAAAAAAAACGUUUCACACUUCAAAAAGGCCCACACGGGUUCUCCUGCACAUUAGCAAGACAAAAAAUUAUUCUAUCUGUUCUGCAACUUCUUUUGUAGUACUAAUUAUAAGUACUAGCAAAAUCUUGUGUCCACAAUGCAAUAAUUGGAUUGACGAGACCAUGAAGGCAUAAUGGAAUCCUAUACGCGUGUUCAAGAAAAAAAUUUAAAUAAGAAGAGAGGAGAAAAGCAAAUCUUCCAUAAAACUGAAACUAAGCUCCUUAGAUAUAUUUGUAUUACAGCUUGUUACAAGGUAAUUAAGAAAGUGUUUCAUCCUUUAGUAUUGAGCAUGACUAGAAAAAAAAAAUUAUAUUCUUCUUUUGGGCUAAGUAGAUAUAACUCGACUUAAUCACAUGAUAAUUAUUAAAAUCUUCAUGACUGAAUUCUUUUCUUUGGCAAGCUUGAUCAUGACCGAAUUCUGCAAGUAAGUACUCUUCCAUCAUUCAUCUCUCGAAUAUACUGCAAAAUCACAUUGUCAAGGAGAAGCACCCAAAACCCAGCUGCCUCAUGGAACAAGUCAUCAAACCCUGCAGAUAUAUCGAUAUGUAAUGAGCAAAAAUUACAAAAUAAUAAUAAUAUUAAUAAUAAUAAAAGAUAAAGGUCAAGAAAGAAGAAUAGGAGUGAGAGGGCUAAGGAGGUCUUGGUCCAAUAGUUAAUAUGGAACCUCCAAGAUUUAGAUGCCAUGAGUUUAAACAUCCCUUUCCCUUCCCCUUUUCUUAAAUCCGGCCAUAUUUGUGCUUUAAAAAAAAUUUUUUUUUUAAAAAGGAACAAGAACAAGAACAAGAACAAGAACAAGAGUGAGAGGAAAUGGAUAUAUAUACGUAACUGGAUGUAUUCAAUGUUGAUUUUUGCAUGAGGAGAAUGUGCGAUGGCUGCGAAAGCGUCAGUGGACAAGAGGAUAGUAGAGGGACAUGGCCUUCUGGGGCAAAAAUCCACCACCCUAACGUCGAUGGUGGUUCCAACAUUCUUGCAUGGCUUGUUAUUGCCACUCAGGCAUCUCAACCUGUAGCGUCUUCCGCAUGCAGCCCCGUUAUCCCACAGCCCUUCGCUGACAGCAACGAAUAGGUUCCCUGCUGGGAAUUGAUCUGGUCUGUUGCCAUUGCAUCUAGUAGCUGCAACAGAAUUCACAGGUCAGCUACUUUACUAUACUGUAUAUGCAUAUAUGUGCAAGAAGAUUGAAAUUUGACAUGAACAAUCACUAAUGGUCAGUCCUUGACGUGCUUUUAAAAGGCAAAAAAAGAAAUCAAUCUCAGUACAGUUAAUUGGGUUAAUGGUAGAUAUAUAUUUACAGAUUACUUACGAAUAUAUGGUGGACUAUAAGAUGUUGCAGUGCCAAUGUCUCCCCGGACUAGGCUUAUUUCACUGCAAAAUAAGCUGAUGAGGAGUGUUGCCACAACUAGGACAGCCAUUUUGAUUGGAAAGGAAAAUUAACUUGGUACAGCUGAUUGAUUCUUGUUGUGUGGAAUUAUUGUUUAUCAACUCCCUCAAUUUAUAGAUGGAAGGAGCAAUCCAUCCUCCAAUUAGGUCCUCCCCGCCCGCAAUACGCUCCAAGAAUAGGACAGAAAUAAAGUGGAUUAGUGAGAAUCAUUUACACUUGUUGUAAUUGGUUUGUCUGAGUCUUCAGCGUGAGAAUCUAGUUAAGCAAUUCUUUAUCCUGUCAUUCAUUCGAAGUAUCAAAAGUGACGAAAAUGAUCGUCACAGCAACUGUUUCUGAGUGAUGUAACAUCGAUUAACCAUUGCCAUUAAAUUAUAUAAAUAAUGAAUGAUAAAUUACAAUUUCCAAGCAUGUGCACGAUCUAGAAUACUCCUACUAGAAAAAAAAAAUGAGGUGUGGCAGGUAAAUGUGGUUAGUGGUCAUUGAUUGAUCCAAUCAAACGACAUGCGUAGAUCUGAGGAAUUCUUUUAUUCUACCAUUCGAAGUGCCAAAAAAGAUCAUGGUGUAACACUGUUUAAAUACAUUGCAUUUUUUUCUAAACUAUUUACACAAUUAUUUUACAGUGACAAAAUGUAACGUUCAAUUCACAUACCUCUCAUCUCAUACAUAAUAGUUGUGACAUUUUCACUAGAAGUUCAUAUAGUUGGUCAAAAAGAGGUGAAAAAUGCAACCUUCCUCGUUAGGAAAAGGGGCAAAUAGAUUGGCUAUACACGUACAACACUGAUAAUGUGGCAUCUAGUUUGCGCGUAAAAGUUUCCACACGACGGAUGUUGCAGUUGCUAAAUUCAUUGCCUCAUUCUUCCUCUCAUUGAUGAUCAAAUUUGCGGUGAUAUACGAAGCUCACCUGAUAUUAGGAGUCUGAACGCCAUUCUAUACUUGAAAUUAAAUGGAUGUCACUCCUAAAAAUUGUCUCAACGGAACGAUUAUUGGACAUUCUUUUCUUUUCUUUUCUUUUUUUGUCAAUAUAGGGAGUAUCUCAUCUUUUUUUGUUAAACUAAUAUUCCUGUGCCCAUACAUCCGAACCCAAGGAUACACGAGACGGUAAAAAAGUUAGAAUCGACCACACUGGGGCCUAAUGAGGUUAUCCCAUAGCCAACCGAUCUGCGCCCGAUGGGCGAUUGUUGGACAUUCAUUAAGAGAAAAAAAUUGUGAUUUUGACCAGUCAUAUUCACAUCCUCAUAUCACCUAGUAGAACACAGAUGCCGUGGACAAGGCUGCCCGCCAAUUUUCCCCAACUCCACUCAAAUCAAAUGUCCUUGUUUCCUCACUUCCACGGCUUGCUAGUGCUGUUAUGGUUGUCAACAGUCCAGACUGUAGAAAGGAGGAUUGGAAAACGAAUUCCAUAACGGUGCAUAUGCACUGUUAUCAUCGUUGAAUUCACGACAAAUAUGCAUAGUCAAAUUACACAGUUAGUUGGUGUGUAUAAGAUUAAUUCUUUUUAUUUUUAUUUAAUUCUAUUUCAUUUUGUUGUCACCUUUUAAUACACUUGGAAAUUAAAAGAAACAAUUGGUCUUCUCUUAAAGAAAAUGUCAAGAUCUAGGUGUAGUGGUUUAGCUGUCAUUAAUGAUAAGGGUAAAAUGCUUAAAUUUGAAGUCGAGUCAGUUACGGCAAAAUUGGUGCACUUUUUUCCAGUUGCCACCAGCUGUUAGGAUUGUGCACUUUCAUUGAUUUGUCUCGUACCAAUACAAUUAAUCCUGAUAAUUAUGGGAUCAAAACCGUAAAAAAAAAAAAAAAAGAAGAGAAAAAAACACACAAACUUUUUGACCAUUCAACAAAAAUCAGAAAUAAAGUAAUUAGCAGGAAUCAAAUGGAGAGAGCCUAUUGAAAUCACGAAGUCCAGAAAUUGAUAGGACACAAACUUUUUGACCAUUCGCCAAAAAUCAGAAAUAAAGUAGUGCUUGAAAAAUUAUUGAAGCGCUGAUUUUUCUAGAAACUCCAAUUUAGUGGGUGCAAUAUAUCACAUUACAUUUACAUCAGAAGAGACGUUGUCCCAGCACUCCCAACUCCCAUGGAAUAUGCCUAAGAAACUUUAUGUAAGCUGCCCAAAUUUUGCCUCAAUAACCCCUUUUUUUUUUUUCCCGCUGAUGAGAAUCGUAUAUACCAGCUAUGUUUAGUGUGUGGAUUAGUCUAACGCGUGCCCUCAAGGCACUCGUUAACACGCCUAACAUUGAUCUAAUCUACUAUAUAUAUUGUAUACACACAUACUAACAAUUAUCAUCCCCUUGCAUUUAUAUGCUUUCUCUAUUUAAGCUUGCGUACCCUUUUUUGUAUUUACUACUUUUCCUAAUUAUUCUUAUAUUUUCAAAAAUAUAGCACAUGAAAUAUAGUUUAACGACAGACCAUAUUAAAAAUUAACCAUUAUUUGCACAUCGCGUACUCAUUAUCAGGUAUUACGAAAUAUUAUUUUAAGAGUACUAAUACAUUCAUUUCUGAGCUUCUGGUAUUACUCGAUAAUAUCGAAAAAUAACCCAUUUUAAUACUUUUAUAAAAAUAUUUGCAAGGAUUAUCUAUGACACGAAAAGCAUGCUUGUUUGCUUACUUAUCAAGAUUAGGGGAAAAAAUUCUUAAAUAUCAUAUUCCUCGAAUCGUAAGCGUAAUUUUCAAUCACUCUAUCGCAAAAUGUGCUAGAAUUUUUUUUUUUUCAGAAAAAAGUGUUACAGUACUAUUUCAGAUAUUUUUUAUCAAAUAAUCUUCUAUCCAAAUGAGCCCAAUAUUAAUUUUUAAAGUUUGAAGUGACGUUUGGUUAUUCCGCAGGAGCAGCAUAACUGCAUCCCUAUUUGGUAUUGCUCCAACUCUAUCGGAUGUCCCGUAGGGAUCCAUUCCUAUGUGGUAAUGGUAUCUGUUGCUGUCUGCUUGUGCAAAAUCUUGACUUCCUAAACAUUCCCAUGCCAAUAUUAACGUGCGUGGCCGAAAGGUUCUCUUUGGAGAUGUGAUCCCUAAUUCUAGAAGGAUGCUUUUUGGAAAUUCGGAGCCCCGUCAGGACCCAGGUUUCCAGUAUAGGUAGCUCUGCUCCAGCCCAUGUCUUCAUAUGCCCAUCCUCACAGCACAAAAUCCAUUGACUUGCCCAUAAACAAAUGCCCAUCCACCGACGCAUCUGCCCACUGCGCCACAUAGAAAUGACAACCCAGUGUGUUUGCCUACUGCUUUUGGUCGGACCAAAAACAAAAAAAAAAAACAUAGGAUUCAAUUUGGAUGUUGUGGAUGUAGGAGAUCUGAUCCUGGAAUCCAAGAAUCCAUGAAUUCAUUUGGCCCGUAAAGCCCAUAACCUAACUGGAUACACUGUAAUAUGAGGCACAGCCCAAUGCACAUACAAUUCAUCCCCACCAACUCACUUUUGCAGCCACAAUCAGAGGCAGGCAUAAAAGCUCAAUUUGCAUGAAUUGUUCUUUCCUUUUCGAAUAUUUGUUGGUUUUCAUACAUGGCAAAGAUAUACCACGAAUACAAUCUCCGCCCUGUCAUAUAGGCGCACCAAAAAACAGCAAAUUUCUCUCCGUCAUUUCAUUUUCCUUUCUUCUGUUGGGGUUGAAAAGGGAGAACAGAGUCCGUCCAACCUGUUUCUCAUUUUUCUCUUCCUCAAUAGAACCCCCUCCCCCGACCUCUCCUCCUUCGUGAGAAUAAUCCGUCCCAAGAUUCCUCAUUCUUCAGUAGCGAAUCAAACAAAAAAAUUUAUAUUAAUAUAUUCAAUUUGGUAAACCGGUCUCAAAAAACUGCUUCUUUCUUUAUUCUCUUCCCAAAACAAAUCUAAUCUAAUCAUUCUUGUCUACCCACUAGUCAAGAAUGCAUUUUUUUAAUACCCUUCUCCCCAAAACCGAAUCUUUUGCUCCUUCACUGUACCCAAAUUGCUUAGAAACAUGAAAGCUUAGCAACUUGGGUAUGUACUGAAUUCAUCCAAUUGAAGGGAAAGGCAAAAGAAGGGUUCCGUUCAUUUUUUUGAAGGUUUUGCAGAAAUGGGGGGAACAAAAAUGCAAUCUUUGCAGUAUAAGAGUGAUGGGUUUUCCUCAAAUUCUCAGUUCAGGUUUCAAUGGAGUCUCCUCCCAGAUGAUAAUUUAUACCCUGUUGGCGGCCUCUUUGCCUCGGUAGGCCAAGUUGGGAAUAUGGGUUUCGGUGUUUCUCCAAAUUCACCAAAUCCUCGAGGAGAAAAUCAAAAGGAUGGUUUCAAGCUGCCUUGCACUGAUUUAUAUGUGAAAUAUGUGUCAUCUCCUGAGGGGUUUAAAAUCGUGGGCAUUCCGGAGGAGGAAGGGGCGGUUAAGAAGAAGAAGACUGGGCUUAAACUUAAAGUUAAGGUCGCAAAUCCUUCAUUGAGGAGGUUAAUAAGCGGAGCAAUUGCCGGUGCUGUGUCCAGGACUGCUGUAGCUCCAUUGGAGACAAUAAGAACUCAUUUGAUGGUUGGGAGUAGCGGGCAUUCUGUUACUGAGGUGUUCCAUAAUAUAAUGGAGCAUGAUGGAUGGAAAGGAUUGUUUAGGGGCAAUAUGGUUAAUGUGAUUCGAGUUGCGCCUAGCAAAGCCAUUGAGGUAAACAAAAGAUCGCUCCUUACGUUAAUUUUAGUUUUCAUUGGGUCAUACUGUUGGCUUCAUUCCGUGCUUCUGAUACUGAGGCUGUAAUUAAUUAUCUGCUUUUCAGUUUUAAGUUGGUCUGUAGUGUCUGAUGCAUCUUAUAGUUGGUUUGUUUUCUGGUUUUAUAGGGCGUUUAUCUGGUCGUGAUAUGUCCUAAAGCAUAGUUUCCAUUAGUGGAUGACUCACAAGCCCAUGUCUAGGAAGGGCAUAAGUAGGCUACUGGUAGCUCAUGCCAGGGGUGAUUGAAUUGUUUUUACUACUAACCACCAGAUGCAUUGAUAACUAGCUAUUGGGUGAUGUGCAUUAUACAUGAUUAAAAAGGUUUGCCGGUUUCUGCCUUACCAGAAGAAAGGAUACCCAAAUGCAGUUUCUCCAAAUUCCACUAACCUGCAGUAGACUUUUUGGGCUUUCCUUUUGUCCUCACGCAUUUAUCAGAGCCAAUUUUGAGCUCCUGAAACCAUAGUUUUGGGUAAUGGGCAAACUGUUCAAUGUUGUGAGCCAAGGGGUCAUGAGCUUGAGAAUAGUUGCUUGCGCUAGUGUGAAUGACUCAGAAGCAAGUGAUCAGGUGAUGAAAAUUUACCCCAUGAUGAUUGACGAAUUCAAUACUUGAAGAAUUCUGUCAAAAGGGAAAUUUUGUAGCUGACUAAUGUAAAUGUUUCCUCGGUAUGACUAAGCCUGGGUGGAUAUGAUUGAUACAUUGACUGAAGCUUUUCCAGAUUUCUGUUUGGAUGUUGCUGCAAGAUCCUGUUCCACUCUCUUCCUGGCCAUGUUUUCUAUGAAGCUUGAAGUUAUGUAUGCUUUUCAGUUAAAUUGCCUUUUCUAUUUGCAUUUUGAGAUUGAGGUAUUAACGGCCUCUGAUUCUUUUCCAUCACCUUCUGAUUGGCUGGAAAAUUUAACAUUAUUGCAUUCCAAUUUCAAAUGCAUGUUCCCUUGUUUUUCGGUAUUGUAUAUUGAAUCUGUCAUCUCGUGCCUCAGUUCAUAGCUAAAUGGCAUCUGUCCUUUUGCAGCUAUUUGCUUAUGAUACUGUCAAUAAGAAUCUGUCACCCAAAUCAGGGGAGCAGCCCAAGCUUCCUGUACCCGCUUCAUUAGUUGCAGGAGCCUGUGCUGGAGUCAGUUCAACAUUGGUGACCUAUCCACUUGAGUUAGUCAAGACACGAUUAACCAUCCAGGUAAACUCAAGCAUGGUUUCCUGUUGCUGUUACAGUUUUUGCAUUCCAUUAUUCUGAUUGGCUUUCUUCCUGCAAUGUGCAGCGAGGAGUUUAUGAUGGUUUAUUUGAUGCAUUUAUCAAAAUAUUGCAAGAGGGUGGACCUGGAGAACUCUACAGAGGUCUUGCUCCAAGUCUCAUUGGAGUGAUUCCGUACGCUGCAACCAAUUACUGUGCAUAUGAUACAUUACGAAAGGUAUACAGAAAAGUUUUCAAACAGGAGAGGAUCGGGAACAUAGAAACCCUGCUAAUUGGAUCUGCAGCUGGUGCCAUAUCAAGUAGUGCUACCUUCCCUCUUGAGGUGGCCCGAAAACAGAUGCAGGUUGGAGCUGUCAGCGGGAAACAAGUCUACAAGAAUGUGCUUCACGCUAUUGCUAGCAUACUUGAACAGGAAGGAAUCCAAGGUUUAUAUAAAGGGCUCGGACCAAGCUGUAUAAAGUUGGUGCCUGCAGCAGGAAUUUCUUUCAUGUGUUAUGAAGCAUGCAAGAGAAUAUUAGUUGAGGAAGAAGACAAGGGGUAAAAGCACUGAAUUUAGAGGAAGGAAUAAAAAAAGUGCUCUCCAUACAUCCCAAUAAAUACAUAUGAAAGCUAGGAUACAGGUCAGGUUUUCUUCAUACUAAAUUGACUGGUGUUCGGCAUUUUUCCUCCGUCUGUGGUCUCUAUCUUGGAGGAUUAGCUUAUUCGUUUAGUUUGUAGGAUGAGAGGAGUGAUGCUCUCAAGGACCUUUGCGAUGUUUUGAUUCUUGUUUUCCUGGUUUAAAGAAUCAAAUUUUGAACAUUAAGUUGCGGAAGAUCAAGUGCACAAACCUUGUCACAUUUGCGAGUUCAGCGAAGAAGUUCUCAUGGUUUUCAACACGCCAAGUUCUAACACAAUCUGGUAAAAUAGUCUUGGCUGGUUGCUGUCUUCGCAAUCUUCACCUCUGGAGGAUUGACAUAUUAUUAACUCCUGAGGCUGUGGACGUCUGAACGUCUCGAAAGGGAAUUCCUUCUCUCUCUCUGUCGGCUUCAUUGCUCGAAGCCUUGUUAGUGAUGUGACUAUCUCCAUCACCUUUGAAUAGGUUACCUUAGUUUUUUUUUUUCUAACAAAAAGAGAAAGCUUAGUAUAAAAAUGAAAAUGAUUUGGAGAAGGAAAUUGAUCCUCUCUUAAUGUUCUAUUCUGCGCGCGGAUUUACAAGUUCAGUUCUAUUCUGGUGUUUUUUUCUCUAUUCUCUCUUUGGGGCAGUCGCUAGUUCGCUGCUUAAUGUGUAUGCGUACCCUCUCUACUUUCCAGGCUCGGAGGCACCGGGGAGGGGGACACGAAAAAACCUUUCUUUUCUUGGUUUUAGUAUAGCCCUACUGAUGAAUUUGGCAUGCUACUUUGAUCACCCUUUCAAAUCCUGCAAUAAAAUGGACUUAUAUUUGGCAUGCUACUUUGAUCGCACAUCUCAAACGCCAGCACCAAACGAACAUGUUCAACGAUUUGAUGCAAUCAAACACCCCCAUCCAACAGUUAUACAAGAUACGUUCCAUUUUACUUCCUCAAGAGGCAAAAGGGUCAUGUCCCAAGGCCAUAAAAUGAUUCAUUAGGUCAUCUUAUCCGUUGUUUGGACCUUGGCCGAAUUAAUGGCUCAUGUAGCAAGACUGAACUAAGGAAAGUUAGGAAACCACUAGCCACAUUAAUCUAGCUCCCAGGAAUUAGCAAACGAGACAAAAGAAGUCAGAUAUAGAGACUCAGACACCACUCCAAGAGAACAAACUAGAAAGAAGGCAAGCAAGAAACAAGGGAACUAGAGUUUCUUGCAACCUUAUUCAGUUUAGCAUGCUAACAGAAUGGAGUCAGCUGUAUGCCCAAAACCACUAUGAUUCUCCACAGAGCUGCAUAGUCAAAAUCUACAAUCAUCAUCAAAGAAUAUCUGGCAAAGCCAAAAAAAUUCGAGUUGAUUGCCAUAAAAUUGAAUCCCUACAAUUAGCGAUAAGAAAAAUGGAUACCAAGAAUUCAGCAAGUUCCCAAAUACUCUGAACUACAGAAUCAUUUAAAAAGAACCCUAUGAUGAAAUUUUAAGAGUUAAAUACAGAGGGAUAUGUUUUAAUUAAAUCCAAAUUAAUACCAUUGCAGAUCCCAAAUUUUGUUCUUUCUAUUUAGGUAUUUGCACAGACAACCAAACUUCAGAAAGGAGAAGAGAAGACAGAUAGAAGACUCCAGGAAUCAUAUUUCAGUUCUGAUCAUCAUUCUCCACAUAAUCUCUUUGCUCUGCUU